This 406-nucleotide ribosomal RNA is filed under the name uncultured bacterium. RNAcentral's name for it is "partial 16S ribosomal RNA". It matches the Rfam family "Bacterial small subunit ribosomal RNA", at positions 30 to 526 of the family's 1533-position model. The record is from RNAcentral.
AUUGAACGCUGGCGGCAGGCCUAACACAUGCAAGUCGAACGAGUGGCGGACGGGUGAGUAAUGUCUGGGAAACUGCCCGAUGGAGGGGGAUAACUACUGGAAACGGUAGCUAAUACCGCAUACCAUCGGAUGUGCCCAGAUGGGAUGAGCUUGUAGGUGAGGUAACGGCUCACCUAGUCGACGCUCCCUAGCUGGUCUGAGAGGAUGAACAGUGACACUGGAACUUAGACACGGUCCAGACUCCUACGGGAGGACGCAGUGGGGAAUAUGGCACAAUGGGCGCAAGCCUGAUGCAGCCAUGCCGCGUGUAUGAAGAAGGCCUUCGGGUUGGAAAGUACUUUCAGCGGGGAGGCGUUACCCGCAGAAGAAGCACCGGCUAACUCCGGGCCAGCCGCCGCGGUAAUAC